GCGCCGAUGGUGGAAUUGGUAGACACGCUGGCUUCAGGUGCCAGUGCCUCCGGGCGUGAGAGUUCGAGUCUCUCUCGGCGCACCA
RNAcentral lists this transfer RNA (85 nucleotides) under Pseudomonas fluorescens. Its description in RNAcentral is "tRNA-Leu". It matches the Rfam family "tRNA". From Rfam's summary of the family: Transfer RNA (tRNA) molecules are approximately 80 nucleotides in length. Their secondary structure includes four short double-helical elements and three loops (D, anti-codon, and T loops). The record is from RNAcentral. RNAcentral also lists the same sequence under 3 other names. Lineage: Bacteria; Pseudomonadati; Pseudomonadota; Gammaproteobacteria; Pseudomonadales; Pseudomonadaceae.